UUUCUUGCGAAAUGAUAAAGGACCGACCCUAAAGAGGUUAGAUACGCUAUUGGAGAAACUAUUUUACAUACAUCAAGUUCAGAGAAGCGGGCUGUUUUUCGCAAUUACUUGCCAAUUUCCCUAGUCUUGACCAUGCUGUGUCAAUUUCUUGGAUUCGAGUAACAUUCGAGUGGGAAGUAGGAUAGUUGAGGAAUUGCUUAAUAUUUUUUGUGAAUAGUUCAAU
Molecule: non-coding RNA, 223 nt
Organism: Schizosaccharomyces pombe (fission yeast)
Lineage: Eukaryota; Fungi; Ascomycota; Schizosaccharomycetes; Schizosaccharomycetales; Schizosaccharomycetaceae
Source: the annotation of a GenBank genome assembly